CCGGAUGCCAUAAUGGAUCCGGUUGGACAUUAGGGCGUCAGCUCUUUCGUUCGCUGACGCUUCUCGUGCCCAGAUUGCUCAACAAGGAGGAUUUGGAAAUGAGAA
Regulatory RNA element from Erythrobacter longus, 105 nucleotides. It matches the Rfam family "Repression of heat shock gene expression (ROSE) element". Rfam says of the family: This family represents a 5' UTR cis-regulatory element found in heat shock mRNAs and is known as the ROSE (repression of heat shock gene expression) element. The ROSE element is a negative regulator of heat shock gene expression. Lineage: Bacteria; Pseudomonadati; Pseudomonadota; Alphaproteobacteria; Sphingomonadales; Erythrobacteraceae. The record is from Rfam.